Non-coding RNA from Sus scrofa (pig), 2569 nucleotides. The record is from RefSeq and is a predicted model, not a curated record. Lineage: Eukaryota; Metazoa; Chordata; Mammalia; Artiodactyla; Suidae.
CCUACACCACAGCUCAUGGCAACGCCAGAUCCUUAACCCACUGAGCGAGGCCAGGGAUCGAACCCGCAACCUCAUGGUUCCUAGUCAGAUUCUUUAACCACUGCGCCACGACAGGACUCCUCUAGGUAAAUGUUUUGUUUAGCUGUGUUCAUUCCUCAUAUGCAAUCAAAACUACCCCCACCCCAUUUCCUAUUAUAUCUUAAGUUUUAAAAAAUGAUAUUAUAGCAUUAUUAUAUAAUAUUCAGAAAAUUUAAAUUUUACAAAAUGUAUAAUAUUCUGCUCAGGGCAUGUACCAUAGUUUCCUAUACUUCUUCCCUAUUAGAUUGGACGUUUAGUUUCCCACCGUUCCACAUAUUUAUUGAUGGAAUAAAUGUUUUUGUGUACAAAGUUUUAUCUUUGCUUAGGAGUACUUUCUCAGGCUAAAGCCUCAAAAGCAGAAUUACUGGGUUAAAGGGUAUGGUUUUUUUUUUUUUUUUUAAAUUUUUCAGGAUGUGGAUAAGCUUUAUUAUAGAACCAUAGGUACCAGUUGAACUACUCCUGCAGAGGUGCGAAGUGAUCUGAGAUGUGUGUGUGUUUCUGUUCUUCCCUUCAAAAAAUUCCACUUAGCUCUUCUUUGUAUCUUCUCUUUCUCUGCUGAGACAGUUUUUCUCUUCAUUUCAAAAAUGUUUGCCCUUACUUGUUGAAGCGUUUUUGUCAGAGCCCUUUAACGCUGCUUUGUCAGAAAAUUCCAACAUCUCUGUCAUCUUAGAGUGGUGUGCUUACCUUACUUAUUUGAAUUGAAAUUUUCCUUACCAUUGAUUUGCCAAGUAAUGUUGGACUCAUCCCAGACAUUAUUUUUGUUACAUUAGCAUUUCAGCAGGCAGUUGACCCUGUUGGGUUUUAGGCUGCAAGUUUAGCUCAGCCCUCUGUGGGUUGUGGUUUCCUUGUUUUGUUUUCGAAGCCUUUGCAUGGCUAUUCCGGUGCGUCUCAUGUGUGUGCCCCUCCGUGUCUGUGACUUGGUGGUCAUCUACCCCGCUGUUGAGCUGAUAAGAAUGUGUCGUAUGCUCUUCGGUCGGACCCUGCCUGCGCCGCUUGGGGAUGAAGCGAGGCGCUCAUGAACAACUAAUGUUGUUGUCAGUGCCACCGUUCCAGUUGCUGGGGAGCUGGGACGUGAGAGAAUGGAGAGAAGAAGAAAAGCCUGGCAGGCGAUGGUUUCGCCCACUCUCUGAACUAGGCGACCCCUUCCCCACUCUCUGAAGCCAGAGCUAGAGAGCAUUUCCUGCAGCGCCUCAGUCCGCCCUGAUGCCUGCUUCCGGGUAAGCUCAGCCUGGGGGAUGGUAACGGAUAAACAAGUCCUUCACUCUUCUGUGGGUCAGUGGUGCUUUGCAAUCUUCCUUAAUUCAUCCGCUGCCAUUUACUCCUCAGAACACUCAAAUUCCUGCUCCAUCCGGGCGGUCCAGGUUUUACAGCUGCGUUCAGUGGAGAGGCCGAGGGGACGUGCUUACUCUUCCUUACUUGGAUCUGAUGUGAGUCCUAGCAGCAACCCGGAAGAAGAAGUGAAGAGGAAAGAGCAGAGGGUGCCCAUCCUGGCUUUUGAGGAGGUUUCCCAGAACAUGCCAGAACAUAUUGUUUGUUGAUCGGAGCUCAAGACGCUUGGCUAGUCCUCGCUGCAAGGUUCGCUGAGGAGUGUAGUCUUUUGGGCCAGGCAGCAGUGGGUUCUAGCUGAGAACUUGGGGUUCUGUUUCUGAGAAAGUAAAGGAGAAUGGGUGUGCACAGGCAGUGGGAAGCGGCUGCCACAGUGUUGCUUUCUGUGGAAUUGUGAGAUGAUAUGUGUUGUAAAAUAAGCAAGUGAACAUAGAGGUCUAAAAAGUCAAAAAAGUGAAUGACUGGGGUGGGCUUGCCUCCUACCCUUCCACCUGCCGCAGGAUCUCACCGCUCUUAACAGCCUGAUGAAUAGUUCUUUAGGGUGUGUGUGUGUGUGUAAUUUAAAAACUGUGGCAUCCUACUAAACAUCUUAUAAUUUUCUUUCCGUAAUAUACAGAUUGUCUGCAGGCACACCAUGCAUACAGCACUCGCUCUGUGGAUGUAUCCACUGCAUUUUAUUCUCUCCUGCUGAUAGACAGCUUAAAAAUAUGCUACGGAGAAGAUUCUUGAACAUGUAUCUCGGCAUACUUUGUGCAAAUAUUUUUCAUUUGUUUUUCUUGAGAGCUACUAAUAUUAAGCUUUUUGUUUUGCACAAAUCUUCCCAAUUUGUUGUUUGCCUUCAGUUUUGUUAUAUUUUCUUUUUUUAACCCAUGAAAGUUUUAAGUCACAUUUUUGGUCUUUUUCUUCCUGUCGUCUGUCUCUUUUAAAUGUAGAAAGUAGUUGUGAGAUGGUCACAUCUUUUUUCUCUCGUGUUUUCUGUGCCUUGAUUUUGUACUUUUAACGCUAAUCGAUCCAAAAUUACUCUGGGUGUAUGGCGUGAGGUAACACUCUAAAUUAAAACCUUUCCCUGUUUUUAAUGCAUUGCCACUGAAUUCAGUAAAUUUUAUUUUUGCCUUGUUAAUGACAUGCUCCUGAUUAAAUGAAAACUGACCAGAAAUGAAACAAA